This 468-nucleotide ribosomal RNA is filed under the name uncultured bacterium. Its description in RNAcentral is "partial 16S ribosomal RNA". It matches the Rfam family "Bacterial small subunit ribosomal RNA", at positions 28 to 507 of the family's 1533-position model. The record is from RNAcentral.
GACGAACGCUGGCGGCGUGCUUAACACAUGCAAGUCGAACGGAAAGGCCCUGCUUUUGUGGGGUGCUCGAGUGGCGAACGGGUGAGUAACACGUGAGUAACCUGCCCUUGACUUUGGGAUAACUUCAGGAAACUGGGGCUAAUACCGGAUAGGAGCUCCUGCUGCAUGGUGGGGGUUGGAAAGUUUCGGCGGGUGGGGAUGGACUCGCGGCUUAUCAGCUUGUUGGUGGGGUAGUGGCUUACCAAGGCUUUGACGGGUAGCCGGCCUGAGAGGGUGACCGGCCACAGUGGGACUGGGAUACGGCCCAGAGUCCUACGGGAGGCAGCAGUGGGGAAUAUUGCACAAUGGGCGGAAGCCUGAUGCAGCAACGCCGCGUGCGGGAUGACGGCCUUCGGGUUGUAAACCGCUUUCGCCUGUGACGAAGCGUGAGUGACGGUAAUGGGUAAAGAAGCACCGGCUAACUACGUG